GAGUAAUGCGUGACCAACCUGCCCCAUGCUCCAGAAUAGCUCUUGGAAACGGGUGGUAAUGCUGGAUGCUCCAACUUGACGCAUGUCUUGUUGGGAAAGUGUUUAGUGGCAUGGGAUGGGGUCGCGUCCUAUCAGCUUGUAGGCGGGGUAAUGGCCCACCUAGGCUUCGACGGGUAGCCGGCCUGAGAGGGCGGACGGCCACAUUGGGACUGAGAUACGGCCCAGACUCCUACGGGAGGCAGCAGUG
This 247-nucleotide ribosomal RNA is filed under the name uncultured Gardnerella sp. RNAcentral describes it as "partial 16S ribosomal RNA". It matches the Rfam family "Bacterial small subunit ribosomal RNA", at positions 108 to 356 of the family's 1533-position model. The record is from RNAcentral. Lineage: Bacteria; Bacillati; Actinomycetota; Actinomycetes; Bifidobacteriales; Bifidobacteriaceae.